RNAcentral lists this ribosomal RNA (910 nucleotides) under uncultured Enhydrobacter sp. RNAcentral describes it as "bacterial SSU rRNA". It matches the Rfam family "Bacterial small subunit ribosomal RNA", at positions 56 to 964 of the family's 1533-position model. The record is from RNAcentral. Lineage: Bacteria; Pseudomonadati; Pseudomonadota; Alphaproteobacteria; Hyphomicrobiales.
UGCAAGUCGAACGAUGACUCUCUAGCUUGCUAGAGAAGAUUAGUGGCGGACGGGUGAGUAACAUUUAGGAAUCUGCCUAGUAGUGGGGGAUAGCUCGGGGAAACUCGAAUUAAUACCGCAUACGACCUACGGGUGAAAGGGGGCGCAAGCUCUUGCUAUUAGAUGAGCCUAAAUCAGAUUAGCUAGUUGGUGGGGUAAAGGCCCACCAAGGCGACGAUCUGUAACUGGUCUGAGAGGAUGAUCAGUCACACCGGAACUGAGACACGGUCCGGACUCCUACGGGAGGCAGCAGUGGGGAAUAUUGGACAAUGGGGGCAACCCCGAUCCAGCCAUGCCGCGUGUGUGAAGAAGGCCUUUUGGUUGUAAAGCACUUUAAGCAGGGAGGAGAGGCUAAUGGUUAAUACCCAUUAGAUUAGACGUUACCUGCAGAAUAAGCACCGGCUAACUCUGUGCCAGCAGCCGCGGUAAUACAGAGGGUGCGAGCGUUAAUCGGAAUUACUGGGCGUAAAGCGAGUGUAGGUGGCUCAUUAAGUCACAUGUGAAAUCCCCGGGCUUAACCUGGGAACUGCAUGUGAUACUGGUGGUGCUAGAAUAUGUGAGAGGGAAGUAGAAUUCCAGGUGUAGCGGUGAAAUGCGUAGAGAUCUGGAGGAAUACCGAUGGCGAAGGCAGCUUCCUGGCAUAAUAUUGACACUGAGAUUCGAAAGCGUGGGUAGCAAACAGGAUUAGAUACCCUGGUAGUCCACGCCGUANACGAUGUCUACUAGCCGUUGGGGUCCUUGAGACUUUAGUGGCGCAGUUAACGCGAUAAGUAGACCGCCUGGGGAGUACGGCCGCAAGGUUAAAACUCAAAUGAAUUGACGGGGGCCCGCACAAGCGGUGGAGCAUGUGGUUUAAUUCGAUGCAACGCGA